GAUAAACGCUGGCGGCGCACAUAAGACAUGCAAGUCGAACGGACCAAACCAUAAGUUUACUUUUGGAGAGGUUAGUGGCGGACUGGUGAGUAACACGUAAGUAACCUGCCUAUCAGAGGGGAACAACAGUUAGAAAUGACUGCUAAUACCGCAUAUGCCAUAACCAUCGCAUGGUGGAAGUGGGAAAGGAGAAAUCCGCUGAUAGAUGGACUUGCGACUGAUUAGAUAGUUGGUGGGGUAAAGGCCUACCAAGUCGACGAUCAGUAGCCGAACUGAGAGGUUAAACGGCCACAUUGGGACUGAGAUACGGCCCAG
This 315-nucleotide ribosomal RNA is filed under the name uncultured bacterium. RNAcentral describes it as "bacterial SSU rRNA". It matches the Rfam family "Bacterial small subunit ribosomal RNA", at positions 28 to 334 of the family's 1533-position model. The record is from RNAcentral.